CAGACUGAUACAGACAUGAAGGAAACCACCUGUCUCAUUGGGGAAUUUGGAAACAUGCCCUCGUGGCAGUGAUAAUCCUUCACCUCCUUGGGUUUUGUUUUAAUUGAGGAGAUGGCGGGAGAAUGCAGGAUGUACUCCGAGGAGGGGAAAAGAGGCCUUGAUAGCUGGCAGACCAGACCACUUGUAGAAAGGAUCUUCACUGAAGUGAUUAAGUACCUCUCAGCAGGGAGUUUCAUUAACACUGGAGGGGAGCAAAGAAGAAGAGGUUAUUUUUUCCUUUCCCAACAAGGGUAUCAUGAAAGGUGGCAGAAGGGACAAGCUGUGACAUCUGCUCUCUGCAGGUGGGUUGAAAGUCUCCAUCCAUGGGGUUUUGUGAAGGAAAGGGAUGUAUG
This 392-nucleotide long non-coding RNA is filed under the name Phascolarctos cinereus (koala). RNAcentral describes it as "lncRNA (ENSPCIG00000032501.1)". The record is from RNAcentral. Lineage: Eukaryota; Metazoa; Chordata; Mammalia; Diprotodontia; Phascolarctidae.